Molecule: transfer RNA, 65 nt
Filed under: Dipodomys ordii (Ord's kangaroo rat)
Lineage: Eukaryota; Metazoa; Chordata; Mammalia; Rodentia; Heteromyidae
Rfam family: tRNA
About the family: Transfer RNA (tRNA) molecules are approximately 80 nucleotides in length. Their secondary structure includes four short double-helical elements and three loops (D, anti-codon, and T loops).
Source: Rfam by way of RNAcentral
GGUGGCUCAAUAGUAGAGUGCUUGCCUUGCAUGCAUGAAACCCUGGGUUCGAUUCCUCAGCACCA